Molecule: long non-coding RNA, 211 nt
Organism: Bombus impatiens (common eastern bumble bee)
Lineage: Eukaryota; Metazoa; Arthropoda; Insecta; Hymenoptera; Apidae
Exons: 2
Source: RefSeq, a predicted model, not a curated record
ACGAUUACCGCGUAUGCUCAAAAUAUACAGGUUUACAUAGAUAGAUUUAACUCCUCCUUUUGGAAAAACAUAACAAUUGAAGUGAACCAAAGCAAAAAGCAAACAGUGAUUAAACAUUUUGGAAAUGUGAUUAAAUUACUUAAGUUCCUUGAAGGAAUGUUAAGCUGCAAUUAGUAAGUAUUAGCUAUUGCAAUAAGUAUUAAUCUAAGGA